CGGCGAGUGAAGCGGCAACAGCUCAAAUUUGAAAUCUGGCCCUCGUGGUCCGAGUUGUAAUUUGUAGAGGAUGCUUUUGGUGCGGUGCCUUCCGAGUUCCCUGGAACGGGACGCCAGAGAGGGUGAGAGCCCCGUACGGUUGGACACCUACCCUAUAUAUAGCUCCUUCGACGAGUCGAGUAGUUUGGGAAUGCUGCUCUAAAUGGGAGGUAAAUUUCUUCUAAAGCUAAAUACCGGCCAGAGACCGAUAGCGCACAAGUAGAGUGAUCGAAAGAUGAAAAGCACUUUGAAAAGAGGGUUAAAUAGCACGUGAAAUUGUUGAAAGGGAAGCGUUUGCGACCAGACUUUUUCCAGGGGGAUCAUCCGGUGUUCUCACCGGUGCACUCCGCCUGGUUUAGGCCAGCAUCGGUUCUCUUAGGGGGAUAAAGGCUUGGGGAACGUAGCUCCUUCGGGAGUGUUAUAGCCCCUUGCGUAAUACCCUUCGGGGGACCGAGGAUCGCGCAAGGAUGCUGGCGUAAUGGUCGUCAACGACCCGUCUUGAAACACGGACCAAGGAGUCGAACAUUUGUGCGAGUGUUUGGGUGUUAAACCCUCACGCGUAAUGAAAGUGAACGGAGGUGAGAGCCCUUACGGGUGCAUCAUCGACCGAUCCUGAUGUCUUCGGAUGGAUUUGAGUAAGAGCAUAACUGUUCGGACCCGAAAGAUGGUGAACUAUGCGUGGAUAGGGUGAAGCCAGAGGAAACUCUGGUGGAGGCUCGCAGCGGUUCUGACGUGCAAAUCGAUCGUCAAAUCUGCGCAUGGGGGCGAAAG
This 810-nucleotide ribosomal RNA is filed under the name fungal sp. BG12. Its description in RNAcentral is "eukaryotic LSU rRNA". It matches the Rfam family "Eukaryotic large subunit ribosomal RNA", at positions 87 to 929 of the family's 3401-position model. Lineage: Eukaryota; Fungi. The record is from RNAcentral.